RNAcentral lists this ribosomal RNA (726 nucleotides) under Gambierdiscus excentricus. RNAcentral's name for it is "LSU rRNA". It matches the Rfam family "Eukaryotic large subunit ribosomal RNA", at positions 2052 to 2779 of the family's 3401-position model. Lineage: Eukaryota; Dinophyceae; Gonyaulacales; Pyrocystaceae. The record is from RNAcentral.
AACUGCUGCACAAGGAGUGUUCGAUUGGACUCCUUUUCACACAAUGAACAACCAGCUUAGAACUGAUGCGGGCAAGGGGAAUCCGACUGUUUAAUUGAAACAAAGUAUUGCGAUGCCCUGAAAGGAUGUUGACACAAUGUGAUUUCUGCCCAGUGCUCUGAAUGUCAAAGUGAGGAGAUUCAACUAAGCGCGGGUAAACGGCGGGAGUAACUAUGACUCUCUUAAGGUAGCCAAAUGCCUCGUCAUCCAAUUAGUGACGCGCAUGAAUGGAUUAAUGAGAUUCCUACUGUCCCAAUCUACUGUCCAGCGAAACCACAGCCAAGGGAACGGGCUUGGGUGAGUCAGCGGGGAAAGAAGACCCUGUUGAGCUUGACUCUAAUCCGACUUUGUGAAAUGACUUAGGAGGAGUAGGAUAUGUGGGAGCUCAGGUGAUCUUGAAAUACCACUACUUUUAAUGUCACUUUACUUACUCUAUCCAACUGUGCCCUGCCUCACAGCAGGUUUUUGCUUUUAAGGUUGCUCUUUUGGCGUGUUGAUUUGCGUAAAAAACGUCGUCCGGUGGGGAGUUUGGCUGGGGCGGCACAUCUGUUAAAGGAUAACGCAGGUGUCCUAAGGUGAGCUCAAUGAGAACAGAAAUCUCAUGCGGAUCAAAAGGGGAAACGCUUGCUUGAUUUUGCUUUUCAGUGUGAAGAUAAACUGUGCAAACAUGGCCUAUUGAUCCUUUAG